AUGAGCAUUAACCCACACUGCGCCCUCCUACAGGAAUCAAAACUAAAUGUCAUUACUGAACAAAAAUUACGAUCCUUCCUACCUCGCUCUCUAGACCAACAUGUGUUUUUACCGGCCGACGGCUCGGCUGGGGGAACAGUCUUGGCUUUCAACUCAAACUACUUCUUAGUGCUCUCCCACACGCACAGCCACCUUACCACAUCGAUCAAGCUCACGUCCCUUGCGCACCCACAACCCUUUAUCAUCACAAACGUCUAUGCUCCUGCAAGUCGCAACCUCAAACAAGCUUUUCUCGAUGAACUCAGAACGAUAAAACGAGACAACCACACGCCCUGGUUAAUAGUAGGAGAUUUCAACCUUGUACGUUUUUCGCACGAAAAAAAUAACCACAACUUUCACCAACCAGAAGCAGAUGCUUUUAACAGCAUAAUCAAUGAGUUAGCCCUACUCGAACUCCCACUGCUCGACCGACGCUUCACUUGGUCUUCAAACACUCUCUGCCAACCUUAG
This 510-nucleotide ribosomal RNA is filed under the name Triticum aestivum (bread wheat). RNAcentral describes it as "partial small subunit ribosomal RNA". Lineage: Eukaryota; Viridiplantae; Streptophyta; Magnoliopsida; Poales; Poaceae. The record is from RNAcentral.